This 630-nucleotide ribosomal RNA is filed under the name Melampyrum pratense. RNAcentral's name for it is "eukaryotic LSU rRNA". The stretch from base 241 to 396 matches the Rfam family "5.8S ribosomal RNA". Lineage: Eukaryota; Viridiplantae; Streptophyta; Magnoliopsida; Lamiales; Orobanchaceae. The record is from RNAcentral.
UUUCCGUAGGUGAACCUGCGGAAGGAUCAUUGUCGAAACCUGCAAAAGCAGACCGCGAACACGUAAAACCACCGGGGAUCGGUCCGCGGCGGCAACCUCGCGUCCGGUCUCCCUCCCGAGCGCGUCGCCCCUCGGGCUAACGAACCCCGGCGCGGAACGCGCCAAGGAAUACUCACAGAAACGUCCUCCCCCGUCGCCCCGUCUCGGUGCGCCGCGGGGGGCGUCUCUAAAAGUCUAAACGACUCUCGGCAACGGAUAUCUCGGCUCUCGCAUCGAUGAAGAACGUAGCGAAAUGCGAUACUUGGUGUGAAUUGCAGAAUCCCGUGAACCAUCGAGUCUUUGAACGCAAGUUGCGCCCGAGGCCUUCUGGCCGAGGGCACGUCUGCCUGGGCGUCACGCAUCGCGUCGCAUCCCCGCUCUCCUCGGACAUUGGUCCCCCGUGCGCGUCCGCGCGCGGUCGGCCUAAACGCGAACCCGCGGCGACUCGCGUCGCGACAAGUGGUGGUUGAUCACUCAACUCUCGUGCUGUCGCGGCGAACCUCGCUAGUCGGGCACAAGCAGCCCAAGGCUCGAGCACCUCGAGCUUUCGAACGCGACCCCAGGUCAGGCGGGAUUACCCGCUGAGUUUAA